CGGCGCACGGGUGCGUAACGCGUAUAGAAUCUACCUUAUACUGGGGAAUAGCCUUUGGAAACNAAGAUUAAUGNCCCAUAGUAUCAUUUUUCGGCAUCGUUUAAUGAUUAAAGUUUCGGCGGUAUAAGAUGACUAUGCGUUCUAUUAGCUAGUUGGUAAGGUAACGGCUUACCAAGGCUACGAUAGAUAGGGGUCCUGAGAGGGAGAUCCCCCACACUGGUACUGAGACACGGACCAGACUCCUACGGGAGGCAGCAGUGAGGAAUAUUGGACAAUGGAGGCAACUCUGAUCCAGCCAUGCCGCGUGUAGGAAGACUGCCCUAUGGGUUGUAAACUACUUUUAUAUGGGAAGAAUAAGGUCUACGUGUAGACUGAUGACGGUACCAUAAGAAUAAGCACCGGCUAACUCCGUGCCAGCAGCCGCGGUAAUACGGAGGGUGCAAGCGUUAUCCGGAAUCAUUGGGUUUAAAGGGUCCGUAGGCGGGCUUGUAAGUCAGUGGUGAAAGUCUGUGGCUUAACCAUAGAAUUGCCAUUGAUACUGCAGGUCUUGAAUUAUUGUGAAGUGGUUAGAAUAUGUAGUGUAGCGGUGAAAUGCUUAGAGAUUACAUAGAAUACCGAUUGCGAAGGCAGAUCACUAACAAUAUAUUGACGCUGAUGGACGAAAGCGUAGGUAGCGAACAGGAUUAGAUACCCUGGUAGUCUACGCCGUAAACGAUGGAUACUAGUUGUUUGGCCUUCGGGCUGAGUGACUAAGCGAAAGUGAUAAGUAUCCCACCUGGGGAGUACGUUCGCAAGAAUGAAACUCAAAGGAAUUGACGGGGGCCCGCACNAGCGGUGGAGCAUGUGGUUUAAUUCGAUGAUACGCGAGGAACCUUACCAGGGCUUAAAUGUAGUCUGACAGCUUUAGAGAUAGAGUUUUCUUCGGACAGAUUACAAGGUGCUGCAUGGUUGUCGUCAGCUCGUGCCGUGAGGUGUCAGGUUAAGUCCUAUAACGAGCGCAACCCCUGUGGUUAGUUGCCAGCGAGUAAUGUCGGGAACUCUAGCCAGACUGCCGGUGCAAACCGUGAGGAAGGUGGGGAUGACGUCAAAUCAUCACGGCCCUUACGUCCUGGGCCACACACGUGCUACAAUGGUAGGGACAGAGAGCAGCCACUGCGCGAGCAGGAGCGAAUCUAUAAACCCUAUCUCAGUUCGGAUUGGAGUCUGCAACUCGACUCCAUGAAGCUGGAAUCGCUAGUAAUCGGAUAUCAGCCAUGAUCCGGUGAAUACGUUCCCGGGCCUUGUACACACCGCCCGUCAAGCCAUGGAAGCUGGGGGUACCUGAAGUCCGUUACCGCAAGGAGCG
RNAcentral lists this ribosomal RNA (1345 nucleotides) under Dokdonia donghaensis. Its description in RNAcentral is "bacterial SSU rRNA". It matches the Rfam family "Bacterial small subunit ribosomal RNA", at positions 96 to 1454 of the family's 1533-position model. Lineage: Bacteria; Pseudomonadati; Bacteroidota; Flavobacteriia; Flavobacteriales; Flavobacteriaceae. The record is from RNAcentral.